Gopherus evgoodei (Goodes thornscrub tortoise) is the source of this 96-nucleotide long non-coding RNA. RefSeq lists it as uncharacterized. Lineage: Eukaryota; Metazoa; Chordata; Testudines; Testudinidae. The transcript is spliced from 3 exons. The record is from RefSeq and is a predicted model, not a curated record.
GGCUAGUUUACAUGUCUUCCUACUCAGCUUGCUGGCUUUUGUGGAUCCCAUUAUUAGGCACUUAACUCUCCCCGUGCAUUGUAUGGGGAGCCUGGG